Coffea arabica (coffee) is the source of this 689-nucleotide non-coding RNA. The record is from RefSeq and is a predicted model, not a curated record. Lineage: Eukaryota; Viridiplantae; Streptophyta; Magnoliopsida; Gentianales; Rubiaceae.
AUUUCCGUAAGCUUCUGUGAGAUAUUCCGCAGGCUCAAUGCAACUUUGAUUAUUUGGAGUGGUUGCAACUUACCUGGGGGUUGAGGCAAUAAGAAAAGAAGGGUGGCUCGUGCCAAAACAUUUCAACCACCAACUCAAGAAAAAAGACCAAAAGAUUUCAGCAGUUGAUUUCUUCCUCCUUGAGAGCAGUUUAAACAGGCCCACAACCAAGAAGCUCUCCACAAAGCACAGCCAACGCCACACUUUCCAUCUGCGUUAAGAAAUCAUUCUUCUGAUCUCCCACAGAAGAGCAAAAUCAAGUAUCAUGACAGAAGUAAGUGAGAAGCUGGAAGAAGAACAAGUACCCUAAACCUAGAGCAUCCCCUGUCCAGGGAAAAGACUUCAUGAAGAUUUCUGGAAACACUCAUUUGAGCAAAGAUUAUUUGAGCUACUAAAAUCAUGCAGGAAGUAACUAGGGUGAUGAACCGUUUGAUGGCCUCAUCCUCGGACCUUCAUGAUGGUCAAACGUCGGUUUUGGACUAGCAAAACCAACUUCAUGAUAGUCUUUAAAACACCACCUUAGCUUCUAUAUAUAGUGGGCUAGAAACUAAGGAAAGCAUUCAAUUUUUCAUUUAGCAUUGUAAACAUACAAGUGAAAAUAUUAUUAUGUAACUUAUUUGUCAUUGAAAUAAUGGUAUAUCAAUUUAUCA